AGAGAGAGACAUGCGCGUAUAUCAAUAAGCGGAGGAAAAGAAACUAACUAGGAUUCCCUCAGUAACGGCGAGUGAAGCGGGAAGAGCUCAAAUUUGAAAUCUUCAAGGUUUUACCUUGACGAAUUGUAGUUUAAAGAAGUGUUUUCUGUUGAAGUUUUGGUAAAAGUUCUUUGGAAUAGGACAUCAUAGAGGGUGAGAAUCCCGUAUUUGACCAUUAUUUCCAGCUUUGUGAUACACUUUCAAAGAGUCGGAUUGUUUGGGAAUGCAGUCCAAAAUGGGUGGUAAAUUUCAUCUAAAGCUAAAUAUUGGCGAGAGACCGAUAGCGAACAAGUACCGUGAGGGAAAGAUGAAAAGAACUUUGAAAAGAGAGUUAAACAGUACGUGAAAUUGUCAAAAGGGAAGCGUUUGACACCAGUGUUGUUUUUCUGAAAAUCAAUUAAAAAGAGUUAGAUUUUGUUGUGUAUUGACCUUAUCAGCUUUGCACUUCAUUUUCUUGUCUUUUUUAAUGCACUUUUCGUUUAACAAGUCAACAUCAAUUUCUUUUGUUGUAAAAAGGGUCAUUGGAAGGUGGCUUUCUUUUCGGAGAAAGUGUUUAUAGCCUUUGGCCUCUGCAAUCGGAGAGAUUGAGGUCUGCAGCGUAGAUCCUUCGGGGUUAGAUACAUUUGUGCUAAGUUAUAGCCUUUCAUAGACAACUUGUUGACUAUGAUCAGUCAUGUAGCUUACUCGCUUAUGCUAUUUUACCUACGCUUAGGAUGUUGAUGUGAUACUGCGAGC
Molecule: ribosomal RNA, 774 nt
Filed under: uncultured Neocallimastigales
Lineage: Eukaryota; Fungi; Neocallimastigomycota; Neocallimastigomycetes; Neocallimastigales
Description: partial large subunit ribosomal RNA
Rfam family: Eukaryotic large subunit ribosomal RNA
Source: RNAcentral